UGCACACAUGAAUGUAUGUCGCUUUGGAUAAAAGUGUCUGCUAAAUGGCAUAUA
Non-coding RNA from Salmo salar (Atlantic salmon), 54 nucleotides. The record is from Rfam. Lineage: Eukaryota; Metazoa; Chordata; Actinopteri; Salmoniformes; Salmonidae.